UCGAACGGUCUUUUCUAUGGAAGCUUGCUUCCACUGAGAAGAUAGUGGCGAACGGGUGAGUAACACGUGGGUAACCUGCCCAUAAGAGGGGGGAUAACAUCCGGAAACGGGUGCUAAUACCGCAUAGUUUUCUUGAUUGCAUGAUCGGGAAAGGAAAGACGGCCUUUGUGCUGUCGCUUAUGGAUGGACCCGCGGCGUAUUAGUUAGUUGGUGAGGUAACGGCUCACCAAGACGAUGAUACGUAGCCGACCUGAGAGGGUGAUCGGCCACAUUGGGACUGAGACACGGCCCAAACUCCUACGGGAGGCAGCAGUAGGGAAUCUUCCGCAAUGGACGAAAGUCUGACGGAGCAACGCCGCGUGAGUGAAGAAGGUUUUUCCGGAUCGUAAAACUCUGUUGUCAGAGAAGAACAAGUUGGAGAGUAACUGCUCCAGCCUUGACGGUAUCUGACCAGAAAGCCACGGCUAACUACGUGCCAGCCGCUGC
This 486-nucleotide ribosomal RNA is filed under the name uncultured bacterium. RNAcentral's name for it is "bacterial SSU rRNA". It matches the Rfam family "Bacterial small subunit ribosomal RNA", at positions 62 to 518 of the family's 1533-position model. The record is from RNAcentral.